Molecule: ribosomal RNA, 253 nt
Filed under: uncultured bacterium
Lineage: Bacteria
Description: partial 16S ribosomal RNA
Rfam family: Bacterial small subunit ribosomal RNA
Source: RNAcentral
UACGUAGGGGGCAAGCGUUGUCCGGAUUUAUUGGGCGUAAAGAGCGUGUAGGCGGCUAGGUAGGUCCGUUGUGAAAACUCGAGGCUCAACCUCGAGACGCCGAUGGAAACCAUCUAGCUAGAGUCCGGAAGAGGAGAGUGGAAUUCCUGGUGUAGCGGUGAAAUGCGCAGAUAUCAGGAGGAACACCGGUGGCGAAGGCGGGUCUCUGGGCAGUAACUGACGCUGAGGAGCGAAAGCGUGGGGAGCGAACAGG